This is a long non-coding RNA of Neopelma chrysocephalum (saffron-crested tyrant-manakin), 549 nucleotides long. RefSeq lists it as uncharacterized. The record is from RefSeq and is a predicted model, not a curated record. The transcript has 2 exons. Lineage: Eukaryota; Metazoa; Chordata; Aves; Passeriformes; Pipridae.
AUUGGCGCCUUUAUCGCAGUCUAACAGGCCAUACAGGCUUAUCCAAAGCAAAUGUUUCCCAGCAGAUGAGGGAGAUAGAGCGGGUGAUCAGAGGCUGUUGACACACGGCACAGCAUCUGUAAUUAAGUCACCAGGGAAGCUGGCAUGGGAUGCUGUGACAAAGAGUGAAGUUCUGUGAAAAACAGGUGUCUGUGUUGGAAAUGCUGUAAUGUAUGGCACACUGAGAUCUACUACCUGCUUAUAAUGACCGGUGUUCCCUGUUCUGCAAGACUGGGAGGGAAAGAGAAUAUCCAAUGAACAGAAAUAGAUCCUUGGAUUUUGGAUCUUGGUGACCUUGACUCCACAAAUCUACUGAACAAUUACAUUACGGAACAGUUGAUUGCUUCUUUCUUUGUGUGGCAAUAGAUUAUGGAAUAAGAUGAAAGGAGCCUUCAGAACCUACCUUGAUAUGCUUUUUUUUUCUUUUUGUGAAGAACAGCACCACAAAAAUAUGGUAUAAUUUAAGAAAAUGGUUUUAGUUUUAUUUCUAUUUCAAAUAAAAUAUUAAAA